RNAcentral lists this ribosomal RNA (465 nucleotides) under uncultured bacterium. RNAcentral describes it as "partial 16S ribosomal RNA". It matches the Rfam family "Bacterial small subunit ribosomal RNA", at positions 28 to 507 of the family's 1533-position model. The record is from RNAcentral.
GACGAACGCUGGCGGCGUGCUUAACACAUGCAAGUCGAACGGAAAGGCCCUGCUUGCAGGGUACUCGAGUGGCGAACGGGUGAGUAACACGUGGGUGAUCUGCCCUGCACUUCGGGAUAAGCCUGGGAAACUGGGUCUAAUACCGGAUAGGAGCCAUCUUUAGUGUGAUGGUUGGAAAGUUUUUUCGGUGUAGGAUGAGCUCGCGGCCUAUCAGCUUGUUGGUGGGGUAAUGGCCUACCAAUGCGGCGACGGGUAGCCGGCCUGGGAGGGUGGACGGCCACAUUGGGACUGAGAUGCGGCCCAGGCUCCUACGGGAGGCAGCAGUGGGGAAUAUUGCACAAUGGGCGCAAGCCGGAUGCAGCGGCGCCGCGUGGGGGAAGACGGCCUUGGGGUUGUGAACUCCUUUCGCUAGGGACGAAGCUUUUUGUGACGGUACCUAGAGAAGAAGCACCGGCUAACUACGUG